Molecule: transfer RNA, 64 nt
Filed under: Apistogramma cacatuoides
Lineage: Eukaryota; Metazoa; Chordata; Actinopteri; Cichliformes; Cichlidae
Description: tRNA-Cys
Rfam family: tRNA
About the family: Transfer RNA (tRNA) molecules are approximately 80 nucleotides in length.
Source: RNAcentral
GCCCCGAGGUGUAAGCAUGUCGGAUUGCAAAUCCGAAGAGGCGGGUUAGUCCCUGCCGGGGCCU